Molecule: ribosomal RNA, 253 nt
Filed under: uncultured bacterium
Lineage: Bacteria
Description: partial 16S ribosomal RNA
Rfam family: Bacterial small subunit ribosomal RNA
Source: RNAcentral
UACGGAGGGUGCGAGCGUUAUCCGGAAUUACUGGGUUUAAAGGGUGCGUAGGCGGCUAUGUAAGUCAGGAGUGAAAGUUUGCGGCUCAACCGUAAAAUUGCUUUUGAUACUGCAUGGCUAGAAUCAGGAUGAGGUUAGCGGAAUGUGGCAUGUAGCGGUGAAAUGCAUAGAUAUGCCAUAGAACACCAAUGGCGAAGGCAGCUGGCUAGACCGGCAUUGACGCUGAGGCACGAAAGCGUGGGGAGCGAACAGG